RNAcentral lists this ribosomal RNA (406 nucleotides) under uncultured bacterium. RNAcentral's name for it is "partial 16S ribosomal RNA". It matches the Rfam family "Bacterial small subunit ribosomal RNA", at positions 29 to 526 of the family's 1533-position model. The record is from RNAcentral.
AUUGAACGCUGGCGGCAGGCUUAACACAUGCAAGUCGAGCGAGCGGCGGACGGGUGAGUAAUGUCUGGGAAACCGCCCAAUGGAGGGGGAUAACUACUGGAAACGGUAGCUAAUACCGCAUACCAUCAGAUGUGCCCAGAUGGGAUUAGCUAGUAGGUGGGGUAAUGGCGAACCUAGGCGACGAUCCCGAGCUGGUCUGAGAGGAGGACCGGCCACACUGGGACUGAGACACGGCCCAGACUCCUAAGGGAGGCAGCAGUGGGGAAUAUUGGACAAGGGGUGAAAGCCUGAUGCAGCCAUGCCGCGUGUAUGAAGAAGGCCCGAGGGUUGUAAAGUACUUUCAGUCGGGAGGCGUUACCGACAGAAGAAGCACCGGCUAACUCCGUGCCAGCAGCCGCGGUAAUUC